CAACCACGAUGAGCAGGCGUUUGAGAUGCACAGGGCAGCAGGGGAUGCGGAACUGGCUCCUGGGACCUGCUGAGUAAUCCUGAGAAAGCGGGGAAAGCAGAGAAACAAGCAGGCAGAUUGUUUCCAGGACUCCUCAUGGACAUGCCAAAUCCACAAGCGUGCAAGUCUCGUGUGCAAAACAGCCUAGAGACGUCACAUACCUAUGCAUCCUCUCACAUACCCUUCAACGAUUGCCUAUAAGUGUCGUCGCCGCCUCUCAUCAAGGAAACCUCUCUCUGCAACAGAAACCAUUAUAGAAAACCACAAAAUUCAGCGCCGUGGAGCCCAGUCUCGAUGGAUACACAAACAAAACACUUCACACCUAAAGCUCAGGGAACAGGAAAGGCUGGAGAGAUGGCUCAGCCGUCAAAGGCUAGACUCACAAGGGAAAAUAAGAGGAGACAGAAAGACUGUAGGGACAAGAGAAUCGGCAUCAGGAAUUCGCUGUGAGACCGUGUCUCCUAGUACUAUCAGAAGCUUCACCCUUGAAGUCUCACCCACAUGACCACCCAAAUGGGAGGUGAGCAAGGAUGAAGAGCAACAAAUGCCCCAAACUGGAUGGGGAAAAGCCCACAAGGCUUAAAUCCUACACGAAGAGCUGCAGGCAACUGAGGUACUCGGAGAGAGGUGGGUAUGAGAACGAGGACCUUCUCCAGGGGAAGAGCAUACCGAUUGGUA
This is a long non-coding RNA of Meriones unguiculatus (Mongolian gerbil), 717 nucleotides long. RefSeq lists it as uncharacterized. The record is from RefSeq and is a predicted model, not a curated record. Lineage: Eukaryota; Metazoa; Chordata; Mammalia; Rodentia; Muridae. The transcript has 3 exons.